UGCUUUCAAGUCUCACCUUCCUGACGAGCC
This 30-nucleotide non-coding RNA is filed under the name Mus musculus (house mouse). Lineage: Eukaryota; Metazoa; Chordata; Mammalia; Rodentia; Muridae. The record is from RNAcentral.